Long non-coding RNA from Scylla paramamosain (green mud crab), 1663 nucleotides. RefSeq lists it as uncharacterized. NCBI's taxonomy places the organism in Eukaryota, Metazoa, Arthropoda, Malacostraca, Decapoda, Portunidae. The record is from RefSeq and is a predicted model, not a curated record. The transcript has 2 exons.
GUAGUAGUGGUAGUGAUAAAGAAAAUUAGUCAGCGUUGCAGUGUGUAGUAGUGGUAGUAGUGGUGAUGGUGAUAGCAGUAGUAGUAGUAGUAGUGAAAUGAGUCAGCGUUCCAGUGUUGAGCGUCUCAUUUUGAUAUUGAUGUCGGAAUAUUUGGGGGUGGCGCCUCUCGGGGGAAUGUUUAUUCGCCAUGAUCGUCUUUUAACAGUGCAUUCAUGUUUAUUCCACGUGAGGUUAGCUGAGCACAGGUUACUCAAAUCUGAUCCAUUCGUAAGCAACUGUCAUGACCAUUCUACCAUCUUGGGCUAAUAUGUUUAUCGUAGGAGUAAUGAAGAGAUAGUGUAUUGUACAUCGCUCCUUGAAAUUGAAUGACCGCAGUUUGGUUAAGACACUGACAUAUUCAGCAAAGGGAAAUAAUAAAAGGACACAACAGGCAGUUUUAUUACAAAGGGUUUCCAACAGCAGGAGACCAUUACUCUCUUAUUAAGUUGAUUUCACUGCACGGUAUUAGAGAAAACCUAACCGGUAUAAAAGAGAUAAAAGGUGUUUUGUAUAGAUAGGCCGCGAUUUCCGUCUCCUUGCGUCGUCCUGUUUUUGUGCUGUAGUCCACCGUUACUCCUGUUUGUGGGAGGAGGGUAUAAAUGCUUGUUGGGGUGGUUUGCUGUAGGAGGUGAUGAAUAGUGAAAUAGUUAAUCACCGGCACUAAUCAAGUACACCUGGGUUCGAAUCCUGGCCAAACCCGAUCAGUAAGCAAGGAUCAGUUGCAGCACAUCCAAGUAAUUAGUAGCUUAGGUGAUACGAGGAGCGGCAGGUGGGGAGGUGAAGCCAAGGACGGGGCGAGGCUGACUGGGUGACGCCACGUGAGAUUACAUAAGUUGUACCAUUCGGACCAUACGAUGCUCUCGAGGCGCUUAGGUGGUUAAGCUCCGGGCAGACCUCAUCACCGCGGCCCCGUGCUCGCGGCGCCACGCUGAGCAAAAUAUGCUAAUUGCGCUAAACGUGACCUUCCCUCCACUCCCCUCCCCCGUGAUGGUCUGCUGACGAAGUGGUGCAGCAUCUACAGUCUGAAGUGUUGUAAGUAGUUCUCUAAUGUGUAUUAUGUGUGGAAGGUGACUUAUGUUGAGUUAUUUAAGUGUUUGGGUGAUUUUUUUUUUUUUUUUUUAUGGUGAUCCUCAUUUACUUAGCUUGAUGAAUUUCUACUAAUGUUAACAAUUUUGUAAUUUCUUAUUAAGGGAGAUGCACACAGCAGGGGGAGGGGCGCGUCGAGACCAACACAUUUCAUCCUCAACGGCAAGAACAACGACGGUCGCUGUGCUGGUUGUAGUGAACGUGAUAGCAGCAGCAGCAGCAGCAGCAGCAUGCCAUCGAUAAACCGACGAUAAGCUAUUCUUGCCUUAAAAAUUUGUUUUUAAGAUAAACUUCUUGCUCGGGAAAACCAUGAACAGGGCAGGCUGAGAAUUGUACAAGUUUAAUUAAAAGGCAAGUUGCACCAGGAAGCUCGUGUCAGUGACAGUAUACACACACACAAAUGGAGCCUCUGUACUGGGAGCGUUUAGCUGCUGCUUAAACCUUUACAGUUUUUGAUACGUUCUAUUUAUCUAGCCUUUCGGGCACGAAGCUUACAAAAUGGGUUUUUAUUUUUUUCCAAUACAUUAUAAGAUGCCC